Molecule: ribosomal RNA, 458 nt
Filed under: uncultured bacterium
Lineage: Bacteria
Description: partial 16S ribosomal RNA
Rfam family: Bacterial small subunit ribosomal RNA
Source: RNAcentral
CCUACGGGAGGCAGCAGUGGGGAAUAUUGCACAAUGGGGGAAACCCUGAUGCAGCGACGCCGCGUGAGUUAAGAAGUAAUUCGUUACGUAAAGCUCUAUCAGCAGGGAAGAAACACUGACCUUACGGUCAGCAGACGGUACCUGAGUAAGAAGCCCCGGCUAACUACGUGCCAGCAGCCGCGGUAAUACGUAGGGGGCAAGCGUUAUACGGAUUUACUGGGUGUAAAGGGAGCUUAGAAGAUGCGCCAAGUUUGGAGUGAAAUGCCGCAGCUUAACUGCGGAACUGCUUUGGAAACUGGCGAACUAGAGUGCGGGAGGGUUAAGCGGAAUUCCUAGUGUAGCGGUGAAAUGCGUAGAUAUUAGGAGGAACACCGGUGGCGAAGGCGGCUUACUGGACCGUAACUGACGUUGAGGCUCGAAAGCGUGGGGAGCAAACAGGAUUAGAUACCCUUGUAGUC